Molecule: transfer RNA, 60 nt
Filed under: Camaena cicatricosa
Lineage: Eukaryota; Metazoa; Mollusca; Gastropoda; Stylommatophora; Camaenidae
Description: tRNA-Ser
Source: RNAcentral
UAUUGAGAAGAUAUAAUUGUGGCUGCUAACUAUAAUUCGGGUUACAUCCUCUUCUCUAUG